ACCAGCUUGCCAGCCCCUCCCGCUCCAGCUAGUCUGGACUCCUCAGUCAGCUGGGGUUCUCCACCCUUGGACGCCCUGAGCUCCUCCCUCAGCGACAGGUGCAGCAGGGGGCAGGAGACAGGAGGCCGUGGAGGCCCCAGUGACAAGAACAGAAACCAGAGCCCCAGGCCAGGACAGCACUGGACAGGAAUGGGGAGGAGACAGACAGAAGGAGACAGACAGAGGAGAAGACACACAGGAAGAGAGCAAAGGCAGAAUGUCGGAGACAGAGAUGGGGCUACGUCCUCCCUCGCCCUUCCCACAGGCAACACAUCUCUCUCGUCUCGGGGCUGAAAGCAAGAAGGGGAGAGGGAAGACCUUGUAAAUGAAGCAGGUGAGAGUUCUGCAGCUACACGUCUCAGUUUCAAUUCUCCUCGAGUCCCUGAUGCAGAACGAGCACCUCCGGAGGGGAACAAACCGUAGCUGGCCCAUGCCCUCCGGGUCUUGCAAGGAGCUGACCACCAUCCACAGAAAUAAGAGGACCCGUCGUGAGACGGAAAGUGAGAGCGGCUGAUUCCCCCCUACUGGAGAACACAGCAGCACCAGGCCAGCCUGGCCUUUCGCCUGACGCCCGCGUUUAAGACACCAUCCCUUUAUCUGGCUUUCAUUAGAGCCUCGGCCGCGCCUCUUUUGUGGGAGAGACUUAUGGGAACCCAGGCAGUUUCCCAGCCGCUGUGAUGUUGCUAAAGAUUAAAAAGGAGCUUUGAAGCUGUACCAGUUCUCUCUGCGCCCCCUCGGUACAGGGCCUCAGAAAGACCCAAGCCAUCUGGCAAACCUGACAUAAAGACAAAAUAAAGUGAUUGAGACUGGCUCUUCAAAGCCACAAUGGCA
This is a long non-coding RNA of Leopardus geoffroyi (Geoffroy's cat), 870 nucleotides long. RefSeq lists it as uncharacterized. Lineage: Eukaryota; Metazoa; Chordata; Mammalia; Carnivora; Felidae. The record is from RefSeq and is a predicted model, not a curated record. The transcript is spliced from 3 exons.